GUUCGGUCUCCUAUCCGCUGUGGGCGCUUGAAAAUUGAGAAGAUUCUUUCCUAGUACGAGAGGACCGGAAAGGACAAACCUCUAGUGCACCAGUUGUUCCACCAGGAGCAUGGCUGGGUAGCUACGUUUGGUUUGGAUAAACGCUGAAAGCAUCUAAGCGUGAAGCCGUCUUCAAGAUUAAUUUUCAUUAUCAGACCCCUCAAAGACUAUGAGGUUGAUAGGCAGUAAGUGUAAGUGUAGCAAUACAUUGAGCUGAGCUGUACUAAUCGGUCGAUUGUAUAACCA
RNAcentral lists this ribosomal RNA (285 nucleotides) under Candidatus Falkowiibacteriota bacterium. RNAcentral describes it as "partial 23S ribosomal RNA". It matches the Rfam family "Bacterial large subunit ribosomal RNA", at positions 2629 to 2925 of the family's 2925-position model. Lineage: Bacteria; Candidatus Falkowiibacteriota. The record is from RNAcentral.